Molecule: long non-coding RNA, 450 nt
Filed under: Lactuca sativa (garden lettuce)
Lineage: Eukaryota; Viridiplantae; Streptophyta; Magnoliopsida; Asterales; Asteraceae
Description: long non-coding RNA (LSAT_LNC000856)
Source: RNAcentral
UGUACAAAUGAAAAUUUCAGGUUGUCACAUACUCGGUGAGUCUGUUCUUGGACUCGGCGAGUCUUGUCGAAGAGUCCCGAUAUUCCCUAGUUGAGUCGAGAAUCGUCGAGUCAAGGGAUGACUCGGUGAGUUGUGUGCGAGUGGACUCAGAGUUGUUGGACUCGGCGAGUCUCGGAGUGACUCGGCGAGUUAGGUCGCGGAUUGAGUGAAGUUCUGAUUAUAGGAACUCGGCGAGUCAUNUGUCGAAGAGUCCCGAUAUUCCCUGGUUGAGUCGAGAAUCGGUGAGUCAAGGGAUGACUCGGUGAGUUGUGUGCGAGUGGACUCAGAGUUGUUGGACUCGGCGAGUCUCGGAGUGACUCGGCGAGUUAGGUCGCGGAUUGAGUGAAGUUCUGAUUAUAGGAACUCGGCGAGUCAUAGGGUUGACUCGGCGAGUAGGGUCAGUCAGGGGUU